This 587-nucleotide ribosomal RNA is filed under the name Burkholderia territorii. RNAcentral describes it as "bacterial SSU rRNA". It matches the Rfam family "Bacterial small subunit ribosomal RNA", at positions 677 to 1269 of the family's 1533-position model. The record is from RNAcentral. Lineage: Bacteria; Pseudomonadati; Pseudomonadota; Betaproteobacteria; Burkholderiales; Burkholderiaceae.
AGCAGUGAAAUGCGUAGAGAUGUGGAGGAAUACCGAUGGCGAAGGCAGCCCCCUGGGCCAAUACUGACGCUCAUGCAGGAAAGCGAGGGGAGCAAACAGGAUUAGAUAUCCUGGUAGUCCACGCCGUAAGCGAUGUCAACUAGUUGUUGGGGAUUCAUUUCCUUAGUAACGUAGCUUACGCGUGAAGUUGACCGCCUGGGGAGUACGGUCGCAAGAUUAAAACUCAAAGGAAUUGACGGGGCCCCGCACAAGCGGUGGAUGAUGUGGAUUAAUUCGAUGCAACGCGAAAACCCUUACCUACCCUUGACAUGGUCGGAAUCCUGCUGAGAGGCGGGAGUGCUCGAAAGAGAACCGGCGCACAGGUGGUGCAUGGCUGUCGUCAGCUCGUGUCGUGAGAUGUUGGGUUAAGUCCCGCAACGAGCGCAACCCUUGUCCUUAGUUGCUACGCAAGAGCACUAUAAGGAGACUCCCGGUGACAAACCGGAGGAAGGUGGGGAUGACGUCAAGUCCUCAUGGCCCUUAUGGGUAGGGCUUCACACGUCAUACAAUGGUGGGAACAGAGGGUUCCCAACCCGCGAGGGGGACCU